UUGGAGGGCAAGUCUGGUGCCAGCAGCCGCGGUAAUUCCAGCUCCAAUAGCGUAUAUUAAAGUUGUUGCAGUUAAAAAGCUCGUAGUUGAAUUUCGAGAUCAAAUUGUUGGUCGUGCCUUGGUACGUACUGGCAUUAUUGGUUUCUCCCUUCUGAAGAACCAUGAUGUCAUUAAUUUGGUGUCAUGGGGAAUCAGGACUGUUACUUUGAAAAAAUUAGAGUGUUUAAAGCAGGCUCGCGCUUGAAUACAUUAGCAUGGAAUAAUGAAAUAGGACGUUUAAUUCUAUUUUGUUGGUUUCUAGGAUUGACGUAAUGAUUAAUAGGGAUAGUUGGG
This 333-nucleotide small RNA is filed under the name uncultured Glomeraceae. Its description in RNAcentral is "SSU rRNA". It matches the Rfam family "Eukaryotic small subunit ribosomal RNA", at positions 548 to 886 of the family's 1831-position model. Lineage: Eukaryota; Fungi; Glomeromycota; Glomeromycetes; Glomerales; Glomeraceae. The record is from RNAcentral.